AUUGAACGCUGGCGGCAUGCCUUACACAUGCAAGUCGAACGGCAGCACGGGAGCAAUCCUGGUGGCGAGUGGCGAACGGGUGAGUAUUAUAUCGGAACGUGCCCAGUCGUGGGGGAUAACGUAGCGAAAGCUACGCUAAUACCGCAUACGAUCUAUGGAUGAAAGCGGGGGAUCGCAAGACCUCGCGCGAUUGGAGCGGCCGAUAUCAGAUUAGGUGGUUGGUGGGGUAAAGGCUCACCAAGCCGACGAUCUGUAGCUGGUCUGAGAGGACGACCAGCCACACUGGGACUGAGACACGGCCCAGACUCCUACGGGAGGCAGCAGUGGGGAAUUGUGGACAAUGAGCGCAAGCCUGAUCCAGCAAUGCCGCGUGCAGGAUGAAGGCCUUCGGGUUGUAAACUGCUUUUGUACGGAGCGAAAAGGCUCUCUCUAAUACAGGGGGCUCAUGACGGUACCGUAAGAAUAAGCACCGGCUAACUACGUGCCAGCAGCCGCCGUAA
This 500-nucleotide ribosomal RNA is filed under the name uncultured bacterium. RNAcentral's name for it is "partial 16S ribosomal RNA". It matches the Rfam family "Bacterial small subunit ribosomal RNA", at positions 30 to 523 of the family's 1533-position model. The record is from RNAcentral.